RNAcentral lists this ribosomal RNA (497 nucleotides) under uncultured bacterium. Its description in RNAcentral is "partial 16S ribosomal RNA". It matches the Rfam family "Bacterial small subunit ribosomal RNA", at positions 28 to 507 of the family's 1533-position model. The record is from RNAcentral.
GAUGAACGCUGGCGGCGUGCCUAAUACAUGCAAGUCGAGCGAACGGACGAGAAGCUUGCUUCUCUGAUGUUAGCGGCGGACGGGUGAGCAACACGUGGAUAACCUACCUAUAAGACUGGGAUAACUUCGGGAAACCGGAGCUAAUACCGGAUAAUAUUUUGAACCGCAUGGUUCAAAAGUGAAAGACGGUCUUGCUGUCACUUCUAGAUGGAUCCGCGCUGCAUUAGCUAGUUGGUAAGGUAACGGCUUACCAAGGCAACGAUGCAUAGCCGACCUGAGAGGGUGAUCGGCCACACUGGAACUGAGACACGGUCCAGACUCCUACGGGAGGCAGCAGUAGGGAAUCUUCCGCAAUGGGCGAAAGCCUGACGGAGCAACGCCGCGUGAGUGAUGAAGGUCUUCGGAUCGUAAAACUCUGUUAUUAGGGAAGAACAGAUGUGUAAGUAACUGUGCACAUCUUGACGGUACCUAAUCAGAAAGCCACGGCUAACUACGUG